Salarias fasciatus (jewelled blenny) is the source of this 440-nucleotide long non-coding RNA. RefSeq lists it as uncharacterized. The record is from RefSeq and is a predicted model, not a curated record. The transcript has 3 exons. Lineage: Eukaryota; Metazoa; Chordata; Actinopteri; Blenniiformes; Blenniidae.
UGUGAUGAAUAAUCGAUUCAACCUGAAGACAGCAGCUCUCAUCUGUGAACAUCUGAACUGCAGCUCUGCUGUUUCUGUACAACCAACUGUUGUGUCAGGACAAUCUAUGUGGAGAAUCAACUCAGAAUGUUUUCAAUCUGGAUCUGAUCUGUCGAACUGUGUGGCAUCAUUCUUCUCCUCUCUCAUCCUGAAACUCACCUGCUCAGGAAACACUGAUGUUGGUCCUAUGGGUAAACUGCGCUCGUUCCUCAGCCAUCAGCACUGCAGAGGGGCUGUAGGUCUUCAAAAGGGUAAAACGUAUCUCAUCAUGGGCUCGUCCCAAGACAUCCGCAGAGACGACCAAGAGCAGACGUUUUGGUACAUGCUUGAUGAGAAGACCUGGGUUGAGUACUGGCCCACAACAGAAGAGUGUCAAACAGAUGAACACCGACCGUCCUGUU